This 301-nucleotide ribosomal RNA is filed under the name uncultured bacterium. RNAcentral describes it as "partial 16S ribosomal RNA". It matches the Rfam family "Bacterial small subunit ribosomal RNA", at positions 509 to 808 of the family's 1533-position model. The record is from RNAcentral.
CAGUCGCCGCGGUAAUACGUAGGGUGCAAGCGUUAAUCGGAAUUACUGGGCGUAAAGCGUGCGCAGGCGGUUAUAUAAGACAGAUGUGAAAUCCCCGGGCUCAACCUGGGAACUGCAUUUGUGACUGUAUAGCUAGAGUACGGCAGAGGGGGAUGGAAUUCCGCGUGUAGCAGUGAAAUGCGUAGAUAUGCGGAGGAACACCGAUGGCGAAGGCAAUCCCCUGGGCCUGUACUGACGCUCAUGCACGAAAGCGUGGGGAGCAAACAGGAUUAGAUACCCGCGUAGUUCUGUCUCUUAUACC